AAGCCCAACUGCGCAGAUGGUACUGCAGUUAUGUGGGAGAGUAUGUCGCCGCCUUCU
This 57-nucleotide ribosomal RNA is filed under the name Flavobacterium terrigena. Lineage: Bacteria; Pseudomonadati; Bacteroidota; Flavobacteriia; Flavobacteriales; Flavobacteriaceae. The record is from RNAcentral.